This 465-nucleotide ribosomal RNA is filed under the name Vreelandella stevensii. RNAcentral's name for it is "partial 16S ribosomal RNA". It matches the Rfam family "Bacterial small subunit ribosomal RNA", at positions 338 to 795 of the family's 1533-position model. Lineage: Bacteria; Pseudomonadati; Pseudomonadota; Gammaproteobacteria; Oceanospirillales; Halomonadaceae. The record is from RNAcentral.
CCUACGGGCGGCAGCAGUGGGGAAUAUUGGACAAUGGGGGCAACCCUGAACCAGCCAUGCCGCGUGUGUGAAGAAGGCCCUCGGGUUGUAAAGCACUUUCAGUGAGGAAGAACGCCUGGUGGUUAAUACCCAUCAGGAAAGACAUCACUCACAGAAGAAGCACCGGCUAACUCCGUGCCAGCAGCCGCGGUAAUACGGAGGGUGCGAGCGUUAAUCGGAAUUACUGGGCGUAAAGCGCGCGUAGGUGGCUUGAUAAGCCGGUUGUGAAAGCCCCGGGCUCAACCUGGGAACGGCAUCCGGAACUGUCAAGCUAGAGUGCAGGAGAGGAAGGUAGAAUUCCCGGUGUAGCGGUGAAAUGCGUAGAGAUCGGGAGGAAUACCAGUGGCGAAGGCGGCCUUCUGGACUGACACUGACACUGAGGUGCGAAAGCGUGGGUAGCAAACAGGAUUAGAUACCCUUGUAGUC